Molecule: ribosomal RNA, 426 nt
Filed under: uncultured bacterium
Lineage: Bacteria
Description: bacterial SSU rRNA
Rfam family: Bacterial small subunit ribosomal RNA
Source: RNAcentral
UGGGGAAUUUUGGACAAUGGGGGCAACCCUGAUCCAGCCAUCCCGCGUGUGCGAUGAAGGCCUUCGGGUUGUAAAGCACUUUUGGCAGGGAAGAAACAGCCUGGGCUAAUAUCCCGGGCGACUGACGGUACCUGCAGAAUAAGCACCGGCUAACUACGUGCCAGCAGCCGCGGUAAUACGUAGGGUGCAAGCGUUAAUCGGAAUUACUGGGCGUAAAGCGUGCGCAGGCGGUUCGGAAAGAAAGGUGUGAAAUCCCAGGGCUUAACCUUGGAACUGCACUUUUAACUACCGGGCUAGAGUACGUCAGAGGGGGGUAGAAUUCCACGUGUAGCAGUGAAAUGCGUAGAGAUGUGGAGGAAUACCGAUGGCGAAGGCAGCCCCCUGGGAUGAUACUGACGCUCAUGCACGAAAGCGUGGGGAGCAAAC